AUCGCUUCUCGGCCUUUUGGCUAAGAUAAGUGUAGUAUCUGUUCUUAUCAGUCGCCAUAUGGGACCUCCAGAAACCUGAUUUUAAGGAAGCUGGGAGAUCCCCCGUGGCUUGUGAUCCGAAUGGCCAUCGACCUGGUCGGUGCAGUACCUCCAGGACCGGUGCACCCUCU
Molecule: small nuclear RNA, 170 nt
Gene: U2
Rfam family: U2 spliceosomal RNA
About the family: U2 is a small nuclear RNA (snRNA) component of the spliceosome (involved in pre-mRNA splicing).
Source: Ensembl